Molecule: transfer RNA, 67 nt
Filed under: Scolytinae sp. BMNH 1043123
Lineage: Eukaryota; Metazoa; Arthropoda; Insecta; Coleoptera; Curculionidae
Description: tRNA-Ala
Source: RNAcentral
AGGAUAUUAGUUUAAAAAAAAACACUUAAAUUGCAUUUAAAAAUUAUUUUAUUAGUAAUAUAUCUUA